AACGAACGCUGGCGGCAUGCCUAACACAUGCAAGUCGAACGAGACCUUCGGGUCUAGUGGCGCACGGGUGCGUAACGCGUGGAACCUGCCCUUAGGUUCGGAAUAACUCCCCGAAAGGGGUGCUAAUACCGGAUAAUGUCUUCGGACCAAAGAUUUAUCGCCUUUGGAUGGGCCCGCGUUGGAUUAGCUAGUUGGUAGGGUAAAAGCCUACCAAGGCGACGAUCCAUAGCUGGUCUGAGAGGAUGAUCAGCCACACUGGGACUGAGACACGGCCCAGACUCCUACGGGAGGCAGCAGUGGGGAAUAUUGGACAAUGGGCGAAAGCCUGAUCCAGCAAUGCCGCGUGAAUGAUGAAGGCCUUAGGGUUGUAAAGCUCUUUUACCCGGGAUGAUAAUGACAGUACCGGGAGAAUAAGCUCCGGCUAACUCCGUG
Molecule: ribosomal RNA, 432 nt
Filed under: uncultured bacterium
Lineage: Bacteria
Description: partial 16S ribosomal RNA
Rfam family: Bacterial small subunit ribosomal RNA
Source: RNAcentral